Molecule: RNA transcript, 3931 nt
Organism: Gordionus sp. m RMFG-2023
Lineage: Eukaryota; Metazoa; Nematomorpha; Gordioida; Chordodea; Parachordodidae
Exons: 23
Source: RefSeq, a predicted model, not a curated record
CAAACAAUCAUUUUAUUUAUUCUAUGUUAAGGAGUUUUAAAUCUUCAAAAUUUUAAAUAAAUGAAUUUUUUCCUAUGUUAAAUAAUAGUAAUGAACGUGAAUUCUCAUCUCUAGACUCUGAUUCAGAAUAUUAUACCUAUCCAUUUCUCAAUGAUUAUUCUAAGAUUUAUCCUCAAUUUAUCAAUAAUUUUAUUAUUGGAAGAUAUGGUUAUGGCACCAUUUUAUUUCCUGACCUCUUAGAAUUAUUAAAUUUUAAAUUAGGUGCACAAGUUAAAAUAAAUCAUAGAUAUGUAGAAGUAGACACUUCCUUGAAUAAUUAUACACAUCUUGCAGGCAAGAAAGCACAUGUGUGUUUGCAUUCCAUUUGGCCUAAAGACAAGAAAAAUGGAUAUUUUAUUAAAGAUAUAUGGGAGUUAAACAAAUUAAAUUAUGAAUACAAAUUAAAAAGAGCCUGCCUUAAAAUGGGUGCAACAUAUGUGAGAUACCUACCAUAUACUGGAACCUUAAUAUUUCAAGUUCCUCAUUUUUCGCGUUACAAAUUAGAAGAUAGUGAUGAUGAAGAGAUAGAAGAAGUAUCCUACACUCAGCCAUUUCAAACCAAGCCCAAUUUAACAUCGGAUUCAUUCGCCAGACCUCCUUUACAUCGGUCGCGUAUCUCGAAUCAUCCCGAUGGAAACGGUAAUCUUUUCGAAGGCGAUAUUUCUUCUUUCAAAGAUUCUCCCUCCGAAUAUAAUUUCGGGAGAGAGGAAAAUAGCUAUCUAAUUAAACGGCAUAAAAAUGAAAUUAUUUCGCGUGGCAAGGGCUCUCGCUGGGUCUUGGGUGAAAAUAUGAAUUCAACCAAAAUCGACGUUCAACCUAAAAUUUCGCGUACUCCCAACCUAAUGUCUCCUUCACUCCUAUUCAACAACCUGGAAAAUUCUUUUACAAGAACAGUGUACUUUCCUAUUCAAAUGAAUGAUCGUAAUGACAAUAUUAUUAAAAUGGAUUCGAAUAAUGACAAUAUUAUUAAAAUGGAUUCAAAUAAUGAAAGAAUACAAGAUGGUUUCGAUGCUAACGAGAGAAAAAAAAGUGUUAGGUUCAGUGGCGAGAUAAUGAAUGAGAGUGGUAAUGAAGCAAAACUAUUAUUUAAUAUAAUACGUAAUGAUAAUAAUGAUUCCAAUGAAGUCCGUGAUUUAGUUGAUGAUACGUCUAUCAAUAUUAUAACAAAUUCCCUGCUUCCAGAUUAUUCCAUCUUUCAGUACGUCCCAUAUCCACUGCCCUCAUUUAUAUCUACCGAUGCUUAUAAUAUUAAUCCCAAUAGUCUUUGUCCAAGUUACAGAGGUUUCAGACCCAGCUGGGGUCCGGGUAACAUGUUGGUUUUGCCAGCUAUCGUUGUAAGGGGAAGGAAUGUCAAACAAAUGCGGCAGUCAUUGUUCAGCCCUCCCGUCAAAUCCUCGAUUAACGAAGUUAUGAUAUGUCAAUUAUCAUCUAAACUAGAUCAAGAUACGUUUGAUAGAUUGUCAUCGGUUUACGAAUCAAAUUUGCUUAACGUGUUCAAACAUUGUUGUCCAAUUAACGCCAACUAUCUCGCAAACCAAAGUUCAUCCAUGACUCUUUACCAAAUCUCAUCCGCCAAUCAACAAAAUCACGAAUCAAUCGAUAAGGAUGUCGAUAAAUUAUUAAUUAAUUUUACAGCCUCCGCUAAGGAUAUCGAUUUAGCUAUCGCUUCCUUCGAUACCAAUAACAAUGUUGAUAAAAAUGAUUUUUGCGAAUUCGGAAAAAUUUGGAAUCUCGUUAAAGCCUUAUGGGGUCAAGUGCCUGAUUAUAAUUCAAAUGCGAUUAAUUCAGAUUAUCAAUUGCAACAAGCUCGCAAAAUAGCCUUGAUUAAAUGGAUCAUCAAAUAUUCGCCUAAUACUAUGAUGCCACAUAAUUUAAAUCGCAGCUACGGUUCUGAAAAUUCUUCUCUAUUGAAAUCGUUUUUGCAGACGUUCAAUCUUGCCCAAUCAUGCGAAUCAUUAUGUUCGAAAAGGAAUUACAAGACAGCUCUCUUAAUGUCCCAAUCUCAGUCCCCCUCUUCCAACCUAUGCACUUUAAACGGGCCUCUCCGAGUGUAUCAACUGCUGACAAACACUCAUGAUCAAAAUUUAGCUGCAUACCAAGAAAAUAACUGUCUAGUUUGGGUGCAGACUUUGGCUAUGCAUCUACUUUUUCCUUCCAACAAAAAAGUUAAAUUAUUGGACCAUACUGAAGACUACAUUGAUCGCAAGGAGAUGAACAUGAAUGGUUAUACCAAUUAUGGAAGCUCUAUAGAGAGCUGUCUCAAACGAUACGAAGAUUCGAUUGGUUUAGCCCCCGGGACAUUGUUUACGCCGGAAAUAAUGGUAAAGCCGAAUUAUACGCCAUUCGUAAUCAUCUCUUCUAAAUGUCUUACCUCGAAUAUCGGGAAUAAUAUUCCCAUGAUGUCUAUGCCCAACGAAUGUGAUUCGGAAUCAACGUUGAGCCCCGUGUCCUAUCUGCAGAAUACUUUUCAUUUGUUGAGAUUUUUUUGCAGACCAUUCACUUACCCAUUAUCUCAGGCUUUGAGUCCUUACGGUUAUACAAUGUAUGGCGAUGUUGCGGGGGGAGACAACUGCGUAAGACAAUUUGGAUACCUUAAUAGUUUUAAGAUGGCAUUAUUUUUCACCUCUCGCAAUCUAUGGCCUCUAACCCUCGACCAAUCACGUCGCGCGGCGCUUUUAAUCGACAGAUUGAUAGUUCAAUCAGAACCACUCUUGACUAUUCCGUGGUUACGCUUGUGGUUACUCGCUUACAAUUGGUCAGUCAAUGGGACUAAUGAUACGGCGAAUCAAGAUCGAGAGGCACGUUUGAUCGAUCUUCGUGUUAGGGAGAAGACAAUCAAAGAUUUUUCUAAUCUUUCAUUCGUUUCUGAUCAUUUGCUAAUCGUCUGCAAAAAAGUUUUAUCUCAACACGCCGGCGAUAAAUUAAACGAAUUCCAUUGUUGCAUCAAACUGGGAGACCUUAAUUCCGCUCAUUCUUUAUUCAUUAAUGAUAUCGCGCCUAAUACCAUAUUAGAAGGACAUUUUAGAUCUUUAAAACUUUGCUUAAAUCAAUUGAACGAGGCAGAAGGGUCGAACAAUUUAGAAAAUUGGCGAUUCGGGGAAUCAGCAUAUCAAAGAUACCUCAAUAUUAUUUGCACCGAGCAGAUGGAUGAAGCUUCAAUACCUUUAGAUGAUCUAUUACAAAAAACGGAAAUAUUUUUGUCAUUAAUAAAGGAUUGCUGUAGUUUACCCAGCAUGACUAAUAGUCAAAAGAGACCAUAUCAUAUCGAAUAUCUUUAAUGUUACCUAAAUAUUUGAUUCUUUUGUUUUGUGGUGGAUUCUACAUCAAUGUCCAAUCAAUAGGAUAUAGCAUUUUGAACGUUUGCACUAUUGAUCGUCAGCCCCCUACACAAUGUGAAAGAUAUUCAGAAUAUACAAAUUUUUGGCAAAGAUGGUUGGUAGAUAAUAAAUACUCAAGAUAUUUCUCGAAUGUAAUGGCUUGCAACAAAUAUGUCGAUAGUAAUUUACACGUGGAUCUUAAUAACUUCAAAUGUUUCAUGCAUCCUAGUCUAGGAUUAUUAUAUGUUGUUCAUAUUCCGAAAGUGUUAGAGCAAAAUUUACAAUGGACAAUGUGCCAUAAUCAGGAAAUAGGCAUAGAAUGUUACAAUUUUGUUGAUCGAAAAUAUGGUGCAGUUCAAAGAGAUUUUUGUGAUAAUGAAAAUGUCCUAGUUUUUAAGCCACCACAUUCCUUUUAUAAAAUUCCGUUACAUAUAUCUGAUUGCAUAUGCAGAACUCGAUAGAAAAAAUGGAUACAAAUAAAUUAAUAUAGAAUUUCUCUAUUGCUUUAUAUUGAGUUUUUACAGCAUUUUAAAAUAAAAGCUCUAAAAUGUAUAUUUUUUACUAUUAAAACAAAC